This 85-nucleotide transfer RNA is filed under the name Felis catus (domestic cat). It matches the Rfam family "tRNA". Rfam says of the family: Transfer RNA (tRNA) molecules are approximately 80 nucleotides in length. Lineage: Eukaryota; Metazoa; Chordata; Mammalia; Carnivora; Felidae. The record is from Rfam by way of RNAcentral.
GCAUGGGUGGCUUAGUCGGUUAAGUGUCUGACUUCGGCUCAGGUCAUGAUUUUGCCAUUCGUGAGUUCAAGCCCCACAUCAGGCU